ACGGGAGGCAGCAGUGGGAAUAUUGCACAAUGGGGGAAACCCUGAUGCAGCGACGCCGCGUGAGUGAAGAAGUAUUUCGGUAUGUAAAGCUCUAUCAGCAGGGAAGAAAAUGACGGUACCUGACUAAGAAGCCCCGGCUAACUACGUGCCAGCAGCCGCGGUAAUACGUAGGGGGCAAGCGUUAUCCGGAUUUACUGGGUGUAAGGGGAGCGUAGACGGUAAGACAAGUCUGAAGUGAAAUCCCGGGGCUCAACCCCGGAACUGCUUUGGAAACUGCCAUACUAGAGUGCAGGAGAGGUAAGUGGAAUUCCUAGUGUAGCGGUGAAAUGCGUAGAUAUUAGGAGGAACACCAGUGGCGAAGGCGGCUUACUGGACUGUAACUGACGUUGAGGCUCGAAAGCGUGGGGAGCAAACAGGAUUAGAUACCCUGGUA
Molecule: ribosomal RNA, 433 nt
Filed under: uncultured Clostridium sp.
Lineage: Bacteria; Bacillati; Bacillota; Clostridia; Eubacteriales; Clostridiaceae
Description: partial 16S ribosomal RNA
Rfam family: Bacterial small subunit ribosomal RNA
Source: RNAcentral